RNAcentral lists this ribosomal RNA (252 nucleotides) under uncultured bacterium. Its description in RNAcentral is "partial small subunit ribosomal RNA". It matches the Rfam family "Bacterial small subunit ribosomal RNA", at positions 26 to 285 of the family's 1533-position model. The record is from RNAcentral.
AGGACGAACGCUGGCGGCGUGCUUAACACAUGCAAGUCGAGCGGAAAGGCCCUUCGGGGUACUCGAGCGGCGAACGGGUGAGUAACACGUGAGUAAUCUGCCCCUAGCUCUGGGAUAGCUCCGGGAAACCGGGAUUAAUACCAGAUACGACCACCUUAGACAUCUUUUGUGGUGGAAAGAAUUUCGGCUAGGGAUGAGCUCGCGGCCUAUCAGCUUGUUGGCGGGUAACGCCCACCAAGGCGACGACGGGUA